RNAcentral lists this ribosomal RNA (189 nucleotides) under uncultured Staphylococcus sp. Its description in RNAcentral is "partial 16S ribosomal RNA". It matches the Rfam family "Bacterial small subunit ribosomal RNA", at positions 151 to 334 of the family's 1533-position model. Lineage: Bacteria; Bacillati; Bacillota; Bacilli; Caryophanales; Staphylococcaceae. The record is from RNAcentral.
UGGAAACCGGAGCUAAUACCGGAUAAUAUAUUGAACCGCAUGGUUCAAUAGUGAAAGACGGUUUUGCUGUCACUUAUAGAUGGAUCCGCGCCGCAUUAGCUAGUUGGUAAGGUAACGGCUUACCAAGGCAACGAUGCGUAGCCGACCUGAGAGGGUGAUCGGCCACACUGGAACUGAGACACGGUCCAG